UACGAGGGGUGCAAGCGUUGCUCGGAAUUAUUGGGCGUAAAGGGUAGGUAGGUGGUCUCGUUUGUCCGGGGUGAAGGCCUUGAGCUUAACUCAAGAAGUGCCUCGGAAACGGUGAGACUGGAGUCCUGGAGAGGGUCGUGGAAUUCCCGGCGUAGCGGUGAAAUGCGUAGAGAUCGGGAGGAACACCAGAGGCGAAGGCGGCGACCUGGACAGGCACUGACACUCAACUACGAAAGCGUGGGGAGCAAACAGG
This 253-nucleotide ribosomal RNA is filed under the name uncultured bacterium. RNAcentral's name for it is "partial 16S ribosomal RNA". It matches the Rfam family "Bacterial small subunit ribosomal RNA", at positions 524 to 776 of the family's 1533-position model. The record is from RNAcentral.